AUUGAACGCUGGCGGCAGGCCUAACACAUGCAAGUCGAGCGAGCGGGGGACGGGUGAGAAUUGUAUCUGGAACUGUGCGUGAGAGGGGGAUAACACCUGGAAAAGGGGGCUCAUAUCGCAUAUUAUCGCAUGAAUCCACAUGGGGUUAGCUAGUAGGUGGGGUAAUGGCUCACCUAGGCGACGAUCCCUAGCUGGUCUGAGAGGAUGAUCAGCCACACUGGGACUGAGACACGGCCCAGACUCCUACGGGAGGCAGCAGUGGGGAAUAUUGCACAAUGGGCGCAAGCCUGAUGCAGCCAUGCCGCGUGUAUGAAGAAGGCCUUAGGGUUGUAAAGUACUUUCAGCGGGGAGGCGUUACCGGCAGAAGAAGCACCGGCUAACUCCGUGCCAGCAGCCGCGGUAAUAC
This 406-nucleotide ribosomal RNA is filed under the name uncultured bacterium. RNAcentral's name for it is "partial 16S ribosomal RNA". It matches the Rfam family "Bacterial small subunit ribosomal RNA", at positions 30 to 526 of the family's 1533-position model. The record is from RNAcentral.